GAUGAACGCUGGCGGCGUGCCUAAUACAUGCAAGUCGAGCGAACAGACGAGGAGCUUGCUCCUCUGACGUUAGCGGCGGACGGGUGAGUAACACGUGGAUAACCUACCUAUAAGACUGGGAUAACUUCGGGAAACCGGAGCUAAUACCGGAGAAUAUAUUGAACCGCAUGGUUCAAUAGUGAAAGACGGUUUUGCUGUCACUUAUAGAUGGAGCCGCGCAGCAUUAGCUAGGUGGUAAGGUAACGGCUUACCAAGGCAACGAUGCGAAGCCGACCUGAGCGGGUGAUAGGCCACACUGGAACUGAGACACGGUCCAGACCACUACGGGAGGCAGCAGUACGGAAUCGUCCGCAAUGGGCGAAAGCCUGACGGAGCACCGCCGCGUGAGUGAUGAAGGUCUUCGGAUCGUAAAUCUCUGUUAUUAGUGAAGAACAAAUGUGUAAGUAACUAGGCACGUCUUGACGGUACCUAAUCAGAAAGCCACGGCUAACUACGUGCCAGCCGCCGCGGUAA
RNAcentral lists this ribosomal RNA (513 nucleotides) under uncultured bacterium. RNAcentral describes it as "partial 16S ribosomal RNA". It matches the Rfam family "Bacterial small subunit ribosomal RNA", at positions 28 to 523 of the family's 1533-position model. The record is from RNAcentral.